AAAUAAAAAGUUAACUUCCCUUUUUGGUUGUAUUCGUGCUGUCAUGAAUGUUGUCGUCGCUCGGUUCCGUGGUGUUCAUCGCGAUCGAGUCGAUUCGCGUACGAAUGUAGAUUUUAGAUUAAUUUAUUUUUUUCAACGCUCUCGUUCCACUUUUUAAUAUUUCUUUGUUUUUUUAUACUGUGCUAAUAAGUGCUGUGAUACGCUAAUUGCUUUGCAGUGAAACAAAGGGCACCCUUUUCGUGUUCAAACGAAAGCAAUCGCUUUAUGAAUAUGAUGUCACUGUUAUUAGAUCCUUGAAGUUGAAGAUGAGUGUAAGUGUUGAAGACGUUUCUAGUCCUUUAUCCGAAGGACAGAGUAGUGUUUUAGAAGUGGGUGAUAAAGUAGAAUGUGAAGUGAAACCUGCUGAUAAUGUUGAGGAAGGUCAGUCAGAGUCUUCCGCCCCAAAACCGCAUCCGAUGGCGUUUACGGUCGACUUUGGCGAGGCGAAGAAAUUCGACAACCGUAGGCUUGAAGAGCUAGCGAAAAAGUCUCAAGCACGUCACCAAAGAGUGCAGUCUAUGUCUGCUAGCGUGCCCAAGUCUAGCCCUAUCUCGCAACGACUGUCGAUGAGUGCUAAGCUACCGCGAAAGGCUCAAGGCUACAACUCGGAGGGAUAUUUCUCCUCCGACCAAGAAGACGGUGGUUUAUCGUCGUCCGUUAAACUCAGAAGUAGUCCACUAGCACAAAACACUGACAAAACCAUCAGCUCAGUUAACCGCCAAGUGAAAUCACCCAUAGAUAUAUUCCAGCCGAAAUGUACGUCCAAAAGUCCCAUUGUAGAUAGUAUUAUGUCGAGAAGUGAGAAUUAUUCCACACGUCAAGCUCUUAACUUGCCGUUAAAAGCGAACAGUUCCUAUUUACGAGACGUCCAUAAAAGUCCCAGUUAUGGUAACCUUGCUAACUAUCAAAGACACCCAAUGGCAGAUAUAGUUGAUCACAGUCCUGAAGGUGUCAUGCUAACAGACAUAUCCAGCCCUGAAUUAGAUAUAUUAACACCUGACAACGGAUUAUCAACACCGGAACCAUCAAAAAGUCCCAUAUCUCGUAAAUUAAGAGCGACAUCAGAAACGCCUGAUUUGUUCAAGAAAUGUCCGCCUAAACCCCAGUUGUACAUAGAUGAUGAGGACGAUAGGCAAUCAAAUAACUCCUCUACAGGCACAUAUACAAUAGAAGGUGAUAAUUACACUGAGGAGCAAAAAGCUAGAAUGAGUAUAGAUAGAACAUUUGGGACACAUUAUCUCAAUGAAGCAAUAGAGGAAACAUUGAAGCGUAGAAGCGUAGAAAGCAAUCCCGAGCUUAUAUUCGACUACACAAACCCCGCUGUUAUUACAAAAGAGCCCAGACGAGAUCUGUGCUUGCGAAGCGCUUUGCCAAUCACAAAAAACAUAGAUCUACCUAACAAAAUGACGAAAGACAAAAACGUUUUAGAAAUAUCGUGCUGUUACGAAUCACCGACUGAGAGCGAUCUAGCCGCACAAACGUCGAAACAAAUCAAAUCGACGCGUAGUUAUUUAGAGAAAAUAAAGAACAGGGUACGUAAUAUUACGGAAAAGACGUUUCCGAAAUCACCGCCAAAGCACGGAGAGGAAGGUGAUGUCGGUAUGUUCACUUCUGUGACGACGUCGGGUAUUUUGAGUUCGAAAUAUCCGAUAAAAGUUGAAAUACCCAGGCGGAGGAGGUGUAGCUUAACAAAAUCGGAAAUAGACCAGACUGACUACAUCCAUCGAUUAUCUAGAGAAUCAUCUGUCCCUGUAUCAUUACCUAGCAGUAAGAAUAUUCUGGAGGAAGCGAAAUUCGAGAGUACAGCUUUAAAGAACGCGCAAAAGGCGCUACAGGCUGAGAAACCUGACCUAUCCCCAGAGCAGGUUGUUAAUCAGCUGUCAUAUUUAAGUCUGAAUAGAUGUAAGGGCGACAAAACUUGGAUACAAGACUGGGCGGACAGUGUUAAGAAGUACAAUAAUAAUACAAUCGCUAACGAGUCCGGAGAUCUUAAUAGUACAUUUUCGCUGGAAGAUCGUCCACCGAUAAGCCCAAGACUUCAUCCUACUAAAUCCCGCAGCCCGCACGGCGGCACACCCACAAAGAUACCGAGCCCCGUCGGGACCCUGUUACACCGGAGGACACCGGAUCUCAUUCCACCACAAGACACGGAGUCGUAUCUUCUAAAAACGCAGAACGCGAUCACAAAUCUACAAGCAAAACUACAUUCAGCUAGAAAUAGCAAUGCGUCUACCAUACCUUCACAACUUACCACCAGUCUCAUCAGUGAAAAGACGAUCGUAUCCCGUCUGCCGCUCUCCCAGCUUAGCAGAUCUAAUUCCCUCAACUACCGCUUACGAAGGAAAGACAACGGCAGCGACAGCAGCCCCCUACGCAGCCCGGGACACUAUGUCAUCACCGGGUCAUCGAAAGUUCCAGAAAAUUCUAGAAUCCUCCUCAAUUCAGCGUCCCGAUCUCUCGACGCGGAAGCGCGAAGAGAUUCCAACAUGAACAGCCCCAGUUCAGACAGAGGCCUACUGAGCAAUAGUUCAGAUGACAAAACACUAUCAAAUCGUCCACCAUACGAUGUGGACACUAUUCUAUCACCGCACAGGAAAACGCACACACGGCACAGAUCUUUCGGCGGCAGAAACACAGAAUUUGCCAACGAUAACAAUAACGCGACUCAAGUGUGUCUCAAGACGGUAUUGAAAAACAACGCCUUAGAUACCAAGGAGUAUAGGAUCGAUCAAACUCGUAGUCAAGGCGAGAAGAAGCACCAGAGAGUUUUGAGCGAUAGUAAAGCUAAACCGGCGUAUAAUAACGCCGCUUUUGGCUUAUCAAUCAGACGGUCCAGCUCUUUUAAUACGGUCAACAAAAACAAUAAUAUCAUCGAUCCAAGAUUGGUGUCAAGAAGAUCAAGUGGUCAGUCAGAGGAAUACAAAGAUUAUUCGGACGAAUCGGACAAUGGGUCGUUCGAUAAAUCGCAAGAUAUUAGGUACAAGCGGCAGAUUACCAGGGGCAGAAUCGAUUCGCCAGAUUUCAAAUCGAUAGCUCCCGCCAAUUCACCGCGAUGUCCGAAUACGCCGGAGAUGCAGAGGAAAUUCGGGCCGGGAUUGGUCAGGAAUUCGGUGCGAGUGACCAAUAAGGAGCGAGUGGUGAACACGCGCAUGUCUGAACCACCAAUGGGGAGAGAGGAGCGCGCUAAACCGACCAAUCAUCAGAGUAGAAGAGCGGCUGAUCCAACGCGGCAAGCUGUACUGACUAGGCUCUCGAAAUCUAGAUCGUCUACGCGGGAACCACAGAAACAAGAUAAAGGUCAAAAGAAACCAAACCAACACCGUUCGUCAUCAGCUCUUGCUUCAAAAGAGAUAGAGUUUUCAAAUUGGAAGAAACGAGCAUCCUACGACCCUAUGAAAGCCGCGCAGGCGGAGAGAGAGAGAAAGAGACAGCAGAUUGCGAAACGGCAGGAGUGUAACAAGGACGACCUUAGUUCGCCUAGCCAAUCAUCACCAGUCCACCGCUCCCAAUCGUUCCACACGACGAACAUAGCGGACCUGACCCUGGACUACUCCUCCGAGGGUACGGAGGAUGAUCAGCUCACACUGCCAAUAGAUCCCAUGGUCACAUCCACGCAUUCGGACAUCCUGGAUGUGAGGAGACGGGUGAACAAUGUGGUGCUGGGGAGGGAGUAUGUGGCUAAUUUUAAGGUGAACCAACCAGACAAGAAACACACGCGCAAAAUAAAACCAGAUAGAGACAACCUGGACAAGCGGAGGACGUUCAUCCUGGACAGCGACUCCACGACCAACGGCAGCAGUCCCCGGAACAGCUCCAUCUUCAGCCAGGAGAAGUCUCUCACGGACACGGAGGGAGAGAGCGGGACGGAGAGUGCCCCGGUCGUGAUGAGGCAGAGCAGGACGCAAGUGCAAGCGAAACAGAGGUACAGUGGUGACUACUCAAUGUCGUCAUCAACAACGUCAGCGAGCAACAAAAAGCCAAAAGAGAUACAACCGAGAUAUCUUGACAUAUCCAAAUAUAAAUCGGAGAAUUCGCCGAAAAACUUCUUAAGACGGGACCCGAGCAAAACAUAUGUAGGCGUUCUUAAUAAUAACGAGAAAAACGUUAGCAAGGGUAGCGCUCAGCAUUAUGAAAUGGAACAAAAGAAACAAGAGUUAGAGAAGUGGAAACGAAGAGCGUCGUACGACCCGCGCAAGGCCGCGGCGCUCGGCAAGUCCAAAACACCGCCCAAGACUGCGAGAGCGUGACAGUUGCCAAUAUGCAUGCAAUUUUGGCUAAAGUGCCACGGCGGCCAUCUUGUGUAAUUGAGUAACGUACUACGGUCGCAGUCAUUCCACGGGCCGGUGCUGUCGCCGAGCGUGCGCUACCAACCUCCGCCCGGACUCAUCCACGAGUCUUACGACGCUUCGAGCGAUAACGACUUCUAGGCGAAAAAAUAAAUAAACGCCAAUGUGAUAGUGUUGUGUUAAAAUAUUUAUUUAGUGCGUGUAUCCGAACGUGUUUCGCUUUAUCUGUCCUACUUGUAGCUGUCAGUUUUGCCGCCGAUUUUACGCAAUAUGAAAUAGGGAUGCUGCAAUCUUUUUUUUUUUUAUUACAUCGCACAAAAUAUGCAAUAUGCGUGCACGUUUCUUUUUAUUGUAUAGUAUUUACACGGUUGAUGUAUCGAAUGAUUUAAAAUACGGAUAAAUUUAUGUUAAGAUUCGAUCUUAAAUAUACAUUUCUGGUAUAUGUAGGUAUUUAAUAUAUUGUAGUAGGGUCGGAUAAUAAUUAAUGCAGUAAUGAAUUUGUAGAUUAUAUUCGCUCAUAUCAUAUACAUCGAUUAAUUUCUUUACUUUACUUUACUGAUAGCUAGAUUAUUUUACUUAGUGCAAUAAUUAUACAUCACAUUAUUUUUAGUCCUAAACACCGAGUUUAUUAUCUAUUAAGUCACUAUUGCUUAGAAUAUCGCGAUUUUCUACUGCAAACUUUCUUAUACAGGGUGUCCUACCAUCGGUAUUCAAAGCUCAAUGGAGGUUAUAGUUUUGCAUACGCUGAGUACGUAAAAAAUACUUAUAAAAUUCCAGACCCAUUUUUUUCUGAAAUAGAUGAAUUCUUAAAACUCUUUGUGUACAUCCAUAACAAGCAACCCGCCCAA
RNA transcript from Colias croceus (clouded yellow), 5173 nucleotides. RefSeq lists it as uncharacterized. The transcript has 10 exons. The record is from RefSeq and is a predicted model, not a curated record. NCBI's taxonomy places the organism in Eukaryota, Metazoa, Arthropoda, Insecta, Lepidoptera, Pieridae.